This 117-nucleotide ribosomal RNA is filed under the name Desulfobacterales bacterium HSG16. The record is from RNAcentral. Lineage: Bacteria; Pseudomonadati; Thermodesulfobacteriota; Desulfobacteria; Desulfobacterales.
UUCGGUGGCGAUGGCAGGGAGGCAAUACCCGUUCCCAUCCCGAACACGGAAGUCAAGGUCCCUAGCGCCGAUGGUACUGCACAGGAAGCUGUGUGGGAGAGUAGGACGCUGCCGAAG